AAGUCGUAACAAGGUUUCCGUAGGUGAACCUGCGGAAGGAUCAUUAACACUAAUGAAAUCCAAAACCUUUUGGAUCAACCCAACCUUAGCGAACCGUUCGUUUUUUCCCUUUGCCAUUUUUAUUAAACGCAAACAAAUCUGAUGUAAAGUGUCUGAUUCUUAUUCCCGUUUUCCCUGAAAAGGGUACAGCUGGAAUCAAAAAUCUAACGCAAUACAACUCUUAACAACGGAUAUCUUGGCUCUC
RNAcentral lists this unclassified non-coding RNA (244 nucleotides) under fungal sp. Its description in RNAcentral is "partial internal transcribed spacer region". The stretch from base 1 to 46 matches the Rfam family "Eukaryotic small subunit ribosomal RNA", at positions 1786 to 1831 of the family's 1831-position model. Lineage: Eukaryota; Fungi. The record is from RNAcentral. RNAcentral also lists the same sequence under 1 other name.